Molecule: ribosomal RNA, 492 nt
Filed under: uncultured bacterium
Lineage: Bacteria
Description: partial 16S ribosomal RNA
Rfam family: Bacterial small subunit ribosomal RNA
Source: RNAcentral
AGUGAACGCUGGCGGUAGGCCUAACACAUGCAAGUCGAACGGCAGCACAGUAAGAGCUUGCUCUUACGGGUGGCGAGUGGCGGACGGGUGAGGAAUACAUCGGAAUCUACUUUUUCGUGGGGGAUAACGUAGGGAAACUUACGCUAAUACAGCAUACGACCUACGGGUGAAAGCAGGGGAUCUUCGGACCUUGCGCGAUUGAAUGAGCAGAUGUCGGAUUAGCUAGUUGGCGGGGGAAAGGCCCACCAAGGCGACGAUCCGUAGCUGGUCUGAGAGGAUGAUCAGCCACACUGGAACUGAGACACGGUCCAGACUCCUACGGGAGGCAGCAGUGGGGAAUAUUGGACAAAGGGCGCAAGCCUGAUCCAGCCAUACCGCGUGGGUGAAGAAGGCCUUCGGGUUGUAAAGCCCUUUUGUUGGGAAAGAAAAGCAGCAGGUUAAUACCCCGCUGUUCUGACGGUACCCAAAGAAUAAGCACCGGCUAACUUCGUG